This 55-nucleotide transfer RNA is filed under the name Inyoka swazicus (Swaziland house snake). RNAcentral's name for it is "tRNA-Ser". Lineage: Eukaryota; Metazoa; Chordata; Lepidosauria; Squamata; Lamprophiidae. The record is from RNAcentral.
AGAGGAGGUCUUAAGACCUGCUAACUCUUUAACCUGGCACUAAAAUCCAGCCUCC